UGCGGCCCGGGCAGGCUCCAGUUUCUGAAACAGAAACAUUAGACUAGAUUCCAUUAAUCGAGGCUUCAGAGUGUGCAUAAAUCAUGAGUACACACAGUUCAUUAAUCCGGCCUGGUAACCAUGUUUCGAGGAAGUGGAUUCAGUAAGUGGGACAGAAGACACAUUGCAAGUACUUUGUUAAGACACCAAGUUACACAACUACAACACCGAACAUUCAACAAACAGGUCCUAUACCACCAGGUUCAGGAACUGUUACUACCAUCCAAUCAUCAGGCUCCUGAACCAGUGUGGAAACUUCACUCACUUCAAUACUGAACUGAUUCCACAACCUAUGGAUUCAAUUUCAAAGACAACUACAACUCUUAUUCUUAGUAUUAUUUAUUGAUUUUUUAUUAUAGUAAUUUUUUUUGCAUUUGUGCAGAUCUUUUGCACAUUGGUCGUUUGUCAGUUUGUGCAGUGUUUCAUUGAUUCUAUUGAAUUUCUCUGCUCUACUGUGAAUGCCUACAAGAAAAUAAAUCUCACGUACUUUGUUGAUGAAUUUAUUUUGAACUUUGCACCAAAAUCUCUUUAUCUUUCAGUAAUUCAUUAUAUCCAACCAUUCAAUGUGUUUAUCCUCACCAUAUUAAUCCUCACAAAAUGCACUACCUCUCAUAAUUAAAUUCCAUCUGCCAUUGCUCUGCCCAUUUAAUAAAAGUUUAUCGAUACACAAGGGGCUACAGAUGCUGUAAUAAGAGAAAAUCAAAGUGCUGGAGGAACUCAAAGUCAGGCAACAUGGACAAGGAUGAUCAAUAUUUGGGGUCGACACCUAAAAUCAGAAGUGAGAGACAAGGUGCAAGAUAGGCAGUAUGAAGAGAUUAGGAUGGGGUAGAGAUGAUGGUGGUGAGACGGGCUGACAGGCGGUACAUGGAACUAAGUGAGGAGGGAGAUAAUUGGGCAAAUAAAACUGGUUGAGGAAGGGUUGGAGUUAAGACAUGCUGGCUGAUGGAUGAUAGGUAGAAAUGGAUAAGGGAAGAGAAAGGGAGAAGGUAAAGUCAAGUCAGGAGUGGAGUGUGGAGUUAAGGGCAGGAACAUGAUGGUGAUAACUGGAAGCUGCAAAUGCUGAAAUCUGAUAAGUAAGGAAGAUGAUGUGGAACCAGACUAGGGCAGAAUGAUAUGCAGGUGCAACCAGUUAGGAAAGAAUAAGAGACCUAUAGGUUAAGUGUUUAGGUGAUAGGCAGAUGGUACUGUAGUGGAGGGGAAGGAAACUGAGUGAUGGGGGAGUGGGGCUGGGAGAAUCUAGGUGUAUCAAAAGGAGCAAGAAAAGAGCAGAAGGACUUCAGGUAUUUGAAAUUGAAAAAUUCUAUGUUUAUAUAAUAAGGCUGUAGAUGACCAGACAUGAGAUGUUGUUCGAAGAUAUACAUCCAGCUCCUUUGAUUUCAUCUGCAGCAUUUAAUGGUCUCGAUGUGGAUUUUUCUGCAUCUGCAAGACCAAAUGUAGACUAAGCGACUGUUUUAUGGAUCAUGUGUGUUGUGUUCACAAUGGACGAUUUGAGUUCCCAUUUGUAUGCCAUUUCAACUUUACUCCCCAUUCCCAUACCGACCUGUCUAUUCUUAGUUUUCUCCACAGCAAGAAUGAGCUAGAUGCAAAGUAGAAGAACGACAGCUCAUCAUAAUCAGCUGAGUUACAUAAUUGCUUUGUACUGCUGAGGAUCUUCACUAACAAGCUGUACUGAAAAAGGAUCUCUCCAGGCAUGGUUUAUUCUGGAGCACUUUGCAAUAUACUAUAGCAGAGAUGUUACUGAACCCUCUUGCCUUUGUUAUGUAUUCAACCAUGUUUUUUUUUUCACAUGGGGUGAAUCAGAUUUGCUGUCGACUAGAUUUUAUGACAGUGAAAGCCUCAGAAGGAGCAUACGUGUCCAAAUCAGGCUGAAGUUUGUUGCAGAUGCUUCAGCUUUUUGCACACAAUUGGUCUUCACUGUUGGAAUGGGUUUGGAAACUUCUCUUUGUGUUAGUUACCUAAUUAUCCACGCUGCCUUCAUGUUGACCAAAGUCUGAGGCUGUACUGUGAUCUGAUUUGCUGGUUGUGAGAUUCUGCUGUUUUUACUCUCAGUAUGCUUGUGGACCUUGUUGUAAUUUGGCCAUCUUUGCACUUCAUUUCUUUGCACAUAUGGUACUAUCCUUCUACAUUCCUAGCUGAAACAGAGGUGAUCGACUGGCCUGAUGGUAACAUCAGAGUAAGGGACGUGUGGCCAGGCAGUGAGGUUACUGGUUGUGGUAUAGCAUUUCUGUCAAAAAUAGUUCGAGCUAUUGGAUCUGUUCUGGUUCAGUCCCAUUUAGCAUGAUGGUACCAAGAAAUGAUAUAUAUUUUUACUACUAAAUUAUAUAAUUAACUGGAUUUAAAUUUCUAAGUUGAAAUUUGAACUUGAGUAUCCAGAUCAUUUGUUUUGUAUUAUUAGAUACUUAGUCCAAUGAUUAAACCACAUACAGUAGUUCCUACUCUCCAAUAUUUAAAACCAUAUUUAUUGAACUGUAAUACAGUAAUGAUUUCUCUCGCAACUACUUUAUACAUUAUGUAUAUGUGUUGUAUGUACUGUUUGUGCACACUUGUCCGGAAGAAUGUUUUUUUUUUGGUGGUAUACAUGUGCACAGUUGAAUGACAAUAA
This is a long non-coding RNA of Hypanus sabinus (Atlantic stingray), 2641 nucleotides long. RefSeq lists it as uncharacterized. The record is from RefSeq and is a predicted model, not a curated record. Lineage: Eukaryota; Metazoa; Chordata; Chondrichthyes; Myliobatiformes; Dasyatidae. The transcript has 4 exons.